AUUGAACGCUGGCGGAAUGCUUUACACAUGCAAGUCGAGCGGCAGCGCGGCCUUCGGGCUGGCGGCGAGCGGCGAACGGGUGAGUAAUGCAUCGGAACAUGCCCAGUCGUGGGGGAUAACACUUCGAAAGAAGUGCUAAUACCGCAUACGUCCUGAGGGGGAGAGCGGGGGAUCGCAAGACCUCGCGCAAUUGGAGUGGCCGAUGUCAGAUUAGCUAGUUGGUGGGGUAAAGGCCUACCAAGGCGACGAUCUGUAGCUGGUCUGAGAGGAUGAUCAGCCACACUGGGACUGAGACACGGCCCAGACUCCUACGGGAGGCAGCAGUGGGGAAUUUUGGACAAUGGGGGCAACCCUGAUCCAGCCAUUCCGCGUGAGUGAAGAAGGCCUUCGGGUUGUAAAGCUCUUUCGGCAGGAACGAAACGGUGGGCUCUAACAUAGUCCGCUAAUGACGGUACCUGAAGAAGAAGCACCGGCUAACUACGUG
RNAcentral lists this ribosomal RNA (484 nucleotides) under uncultured bacterium. RNAcentral describes it as "partial 16S ribosomal RNA". It matches the Rfam family "Bacterial small subunit ribosomal RNA", at positions 30 to 507 of the family's 1533-position model. The record is from RNAcentral.